Molecule: long non-coding RNA, 309 nt
Organism: Limulus polyphemus (Atlantic horseshoe crab)
Lineage: Eukaryota; Metazoa; Arthropoda; Merostomata; Xiphosura; Limulidae
Exons: 3
Source: RefSeq, a predicted model, not a curated record
AAAAUAGGUUUAAAUCCAGUGAAGACUAUGUGAUAUUUAGGGAUGGGAAAAAAGUUUUUUUUAUGUAUAAUGUUUCUUUUGUAAGAAGUUCAGUAUCGUGUUUGGCUGUUGAAAAAAAUUUAAAGUUUGAGAGACAAAUUGGAUGUCCUGUUUCUCUACUGUGUUGACAGAUAGUGGAGUUGGGAGGGUUUGUAACCUCUCUUCCAGUUUUGAUAGAGAUAUGCCCAUGUGUUCACAUGCUCGUACAUUAAAGUGAUAUUUAGUUUCACCAAUGUAGGAAGCCCAACAGUCUGAAGAGGUUAUAAUUUC